UCAGGAGCUUAUACCUAGAACAGUCUUCAUGAACUUAUAUUUGGAUCAACCGAUCAGGAGCUCAUAUCUGAGAUAGUCUGUCAGGAGCUUAUGCCUGGGACAGCCCCCACGAACUUUCAUACAUGGGACAGCUAGCUAAGAGCUCAUGCCUGAGACAGUCUUGAUGAGCUUAUGAGUGAAAAUUUGAUUGGAUAGAGACUGAGGCAUAGUCUUGAUUAGUCCAAAACCAAAAAGGAUGAAGGUCAUCAUAUUGAAGUUGUGGAAAGAUGAAUCAGAUGUUAAAAUCAUAUA
Molecule: long non-coding RNA, 291 nt
Filed under: Elaeis guineensis (African oil palm)
Lineage: Eukaryota; Viridiplantae; Streptophyta; Magnoliopsida; Arecales; Arecaceae
Description: long non-coding RNA (EGUI_LNC011645)
Source: RNAcentral